AACACGCUCCUCAGAUCCACCUCUGGAGGGUGCUCCUGUGUGCUGGUGCUGUUGUCUCUGAGUGCUGCCGCUCCAGCCUGGAGGCCCUCAGCAGCUUUCUGGCUGUACAAUUGGAGGUGCUUGAGUCAUUGGUGUGUGAGAGCAGUCUACCUGUUCCCCAGCCAGGCUGGGGGUGGUUAAC
Salmo trutta (river trout) is the source of this 181-nucleotide small nucleolar RNA. Ensembl annotates it as small nucleolar RNA, H/ACA box 53. Its record names the gene SNORA53. The record is from Ensembl. NCBI's taxonomy places the organism in Eukaryota, Metazoa, Chordata, Actinopteri, Salmoniformes, Salmonidae.